This 127-nucleotide ribosomal RNA is filed under the name Danio rerio (zebrafish). Lineage: Eukaryota; Metazoa; Chordata; Actinopteri; Cypriniformes; Danionidae. The record is from RNAcentral.
UUCAACAGCCACAGACAUAUCACCUGCAGCCCAAGACCACUUACUCACUGUAGCUAACUACGCAGGGCUGAGCCUGGUCAGUACCUGGAUGGGAGACCACAUGGAAAACCAUAGGUUGCUGUUGGAA